This is a long non-coding RNA of Hippocampus zosterae (dwarf seahorse), 856 nucleotides long. RefSeq lists it as uncharacterized. The record is from RefSeq and is a predicted model, not a curated record. The transcript has 2 exons. NCBI's taxonomy places the organism in Eukaryota, Metazoa, Chordata, Actinopteri, Syngnathiformes, Syngnathidae.
CGCCUCCAUAAACCUCAACGGGUUCACCACCCUGGAACCUGGCAUCACAGAAUUGCCAGUUAUCUCCACCCCCACAAAAAAUAAAAUACAACCUGAAGGGACUUGACACCAGACUUUCAAGAGGACGGCCUGCGGCGUGAGCGACAGCAGGCAGACGAUGUCGCCGACGGAACAGUUGCUCAGUUUUGCAAACUCCUUUCCGAUCGUCACGGCAUCGCGUCUGAGGGGAGAAAGUGAGUGAAAACUGGAUGAUCAUCAUCUAAACGACCGUAAUAAACUUGAAGUACAGUCAUUUUGAAUGGGAAGGUGCCUGUGACUUUGUCGAAGUGUAUGUGACUAUGGAGAGAGAUUUGUUAUUUUUUUUUAACAUGAGAAAGUGAUUUAGUGUGGGAGAGAUGACUCACCUGGUCUUGAGAGGGAUGGAGAAAGGCAAGCUCUGCAGAAUGGCCUGUUUGAACAGAGCCUUGCUGCUUUGGAUCAUCAGGUGAAGACUCACGGAUUGAGCCCCGGCGCUCUCUCCGAAUAUCGUCACCUGACACGAAAGCGCCUCAUUACUUUUGACACUCGCGAUGACCGCCGUCAAAGCGCGUGUCAAUAAUCACGGUUGAGAAUUCAGUUAUUUUGAACAGAUUUCAGCUUUUUACAGUAGCUAUCCAAAUUUGAGAUGAUGAUGAUGAUGAUGAUUAUUAUUAUUUCAUUGUCUCUCUUGAUGUGCCCAAUGCUGUAGUUGAUUUCACAUGAGCAGCUCGGACAACUGGGAUUGAUAUAUUUUUUAAGGCGAUAGCUCCCUCUAGUGGUACAUAAAAGAAUCACUACUACCGUUCACGCUGCUAUUAUUAAACGGAUGAUUACUUGC